Molecule: ribosomal RNA, 253 nt
Filed under: uncultured bacterium
Lineage: Bacteria
Description: partial 16S ribosomal RNA
Rfam family: Bacterial small subunit ribosomal RNA
Source: RNAcentral
UACGAAGGGUGCAAACGUUAUUCGGAUUUACUGGGCUUAAAGAGUUCGUAGGCCGCGCGGAAAGUAGGGUGUGAAAGCCCUCGGCUCAACCGAGGAACUGCGCUCUAAACUACCGUGCUUGAGGAACCUAGAGGUGAGCAGAACUGAUGGUGGAGCGGUGAAAUGCGUUGAUAUCAUCAGGAAUACCGGAGGCGAAGGCGGCUCACUGGGGGUUUUCUGACGCUGAGGAACGAAAGCCAGGGGAGCAAACGGG